CAGCAGCCACGGUAACACGUAGGGUGCGAGCGUUAAUCGGAAUUACUGGGCGUAAAGCGUGCGCAGGCGGUUGUGUAAGACAGGAGUGAAAUCCCCGGGCUUAACCCGGGAACUGCGCUUGUGACUGCACAGCUAGAGUAUGGCAGAGGGGGGUGGAAUUCCACGUGUAGCAGUGAAAUGCGUAGAGAUGUGGAGGAACACCGAUGGCGAAGGCAGCCCCCUGGGCCAAUACUGACGCUCAUGCACGAAAGCGUGGGGAGCAAACAGGAUUAGAUACCCCGGUAGUCCCUGUCUCUUAUAC
Molecule: ribosomal RNA, 301 nt
Filed under: uncultured bacterium
Lineage: Bacteria
Description: partial 16S ribosomal RNA
Rfam family: Bacterial small subunit ribosomal RNA
Source: RNAcentral